AGACCUUCCAGCAAUUUUAAUGGAAACCCAGAUGAUGGGUUACCUCGGCUGCAGGAGUCAACAAAUCAGGCUGAAAAAACUAGGGAUGGGGCUACCACAGUCACUUAAGGCAUCCUAUUAUUUCUGGAUCAAAAGCAAGAAAUUCUAGAGAGGAGAUGAACAAAGGUAAUAAGGUGAAAGGUGCAAUGAAGGUGGUGCGCAAUAUACCUGGAUUUGGAAAGAACAGACUUGAUCGGUCAGAUGGUUUUUCUGUACCUGGCAUGGAUGCUCAAGGUCAUUUACCAGUUUCAAAUAAACUGAAAAAUUCGAGUCCUGCUGAAGGAGCACACGAAGUACAGGGGAGUUUUAGUUCUGAUUCAUACAAACAAGCUACAAAUAAUGAGAAGCAGCUUGCUGCUCCUUCCAGUGAGACAGGGUUUGCUCCCACAUUAGGGGACUCGGAUAGUAAUGUUCCCUCUGUUGCAAAACAGACUAUAAGGGACUGGUCCAGUAAUUUCUUUGGCAGCCAUACUUCUUAUUUUAAAUAUCUCAGCCAUACCAGAGCAUGAAUUCAUCUGGCAGUAAGAUUCCUUUCAUUCUUCUUGUAAAUCUGUUUUCUGUUAAUGGAGCAUAUUGCAUUUUUUGUUUUCCUGAUCCUUUUCUGGUUCUUUUCUGCUUGAUAGCUGGCUGUAUGCCACAUGUUCAAAAGCAUUUCACUUAAGCUUCUAUUGUUUGCAUCAGGGGACUUUUUGAGGUGCAUAGAGGUGGCAAACCCCCGGAUUUAUAUGGUGGAAUUCAAGCAUAUCUAUCAACUUUAGCAUCACCUAGAGUUCCUGAAGCGGUUAACAAAUUUCCUGGAAGAGUUCCCUUGAAUGAGGUACCUCGCUUGAGCACAUGGCCGGCACAGUUUCAUGAAAGUGGUGCGAA
Non-coding RNA from Carica papaya (papaya), 906 nucleotides. Lineage: Eukaryota; Viridiplantae; Streptophyta; Magnoliopsida; Brassicales; Caricaceae. The record is from RefSeq and is a predicted model, not a curated record.